Molecule: ribosomal RNA, 254 nt
Filed under: uncultured bacterium
Lineage: Bacteria
Description: partial 16S ribosomal RNA
Rfam family: Bacterial small subunit ribosomal RNA
Source: RNAcentral
CACGUAGGGUGCGAGCGUUGUCCGGAAUCAUUGGGCGUAAAGAGCUCGUAGGCGGUGUGUCGCGUCGGCCGUGAAAACCUGCAGCUUAACUGUGGGCUUGCGGCCGAUACGGGCAUCACUGGAGUUCGGCAGGGGAGACUGGAAUUCCUGGUGUAGCGGUGAAAUGCGCAGAUAUCAGGAGGAACACCGGUGGCGAAGGCGGGUCUCUGGGCCGAUACUGACGCUGAGGAGCGAAAGCGUGGGGAGCGAACAGG